RNAcentral lists this ribosomal RNA (253 nucleotides) under uncultured bacterium. RNAcentral describes it as "partial 16S ribosomal RNA". It matches the Rfam family "Bacterial small subunit ribosomal RNA", at positions 524 to 776 of the family's 1533-position model. The record is from RNAcentral.
UACGUAGGGUGCAAGCGUUAAUCGGAAUUACUGGGCGUAAAGCGUGCGCAGGCGGCUUUGCAAGACAGAUGUGAAAUCCCCGGGCUCAACCUGGGAACUGCAUUUGUGACUGCAUGGCUAGAGUACGGUAGAGGGGGAUGGAAUUCCGCGUGUAGCAGUGAAAUGCGUAGAUAUGCGGAGGAACACCGAUGGCGAAGGCAAUCCCCUGGACCUGUACUGACGCUCAUGCACGAAAGCGUGGGGUGCAAACAGG